GGAUUAUGGCUCAGUGGUAGAGCACUUGCCUCACUCGUGCAAGGCCCUGGGUUCAAUCCUCAGCACCA
This 68-nucleotide transfer RNA is filed under the name Marmota monax (woodchuck). RNAcentral describes it as "tRNA.Undet". Lineage: Eukaryota; Metazoa; Chordata; Mammalia; Rodentia; Sciuridae. The record is from RNAcentral.